RNAcentral lists this unclassified non-coding RNA (202 nucleotides) under Hevea brasiliensis (rubber tree). Lineage: Eukaryota; Viridiplantae; Streptophyta; Magnoliopsida; Malpighiales; Euphorbiaceae. The record is from RNAcentral.
GUUCUUGUUUGAUAUGGAUGGUUCUGUGCAGUUUUGUUCUUCCAAGUGUUUUGGUUAUGCUAUGUCUCUGAGCCAGAAGAUUUUUUUCUCUCUGAUUCAAGUGUUUGUACAUUGGUGUAGCAAUUUUCGACACUAUCAGAAAGUACCUGGUCUCAGUUGAUGUUUGAUCAGAAUGCCCACGAUACUUAUGUUUUGGUUCUUU